ACGAACGCUGGCGGCAUGCCUAACACAUGCAAGUCGAACGAGACCUUCGGGUCUAGUGGCGCACGGGUGCGUAACGCGUGGGAACCUGCCCUUAGGUUCGGAAUAACUCCCCGAAAGGGGUGCUAAUACCGGAUAAUGUCUUCGGACCAAAGAUUUAUCGCCUUUGGAUGGGCCCGCGUUGGAUUAGCUAGUUGGUAGGGUAAAAGCCUACCAAGGCGACGAUCCAUAGCUGGUCUGAGAGGAUGAUCAGCCACACUGGGACUGAGACACGGCCCAGACUCCUACGGGAGGCAGCAGUGGGGAAUAUUGGACAAUGGGCGAAAGCCUGAUCCAGCAAUGCCGCGUGAGUGAUGAAGGCCUUAGGGUUGUAAAGCUCUUUUACCCGGGAUGAUAAUGACAGUACCGGGAAAAUAAGCGCCGGCUAACUCCGUG
This 432-nucleotide ribosomal RNA is filed under the name uncultured bacterium. RNAcentral's name for it is "partial 16S ribosomal RNA". It matches the Rfam family "Bacterial small subunit ribosomal RNA", at positions 29 to 507 of the family's 1533-position model. The record is from RNAcentral.